GACGAACGCUGGCGGCGUGCCUAAUACAUGCAAGUCGAACGGGAAGGCCCGGCUCUUGCGGGGCGCUCGAGUGGCGAACGGGGGUGUAAAACGCGAGUAAAACGCCCUUGACAUUGGGAUAACUCCAGGAAACAGGGGCGAAUACCGGAGAGGAGCUACUGAUGCAUGGUGGGGGAUGGAAAGAUUCGGCGGUUGGGGAUGGAAUCGCGGGUUAUCCGCCUGUUGGUGAGGUAGUGGAUGACCAAGGCUUUGACGGGUAGCCGGCCUGGGAGGGGGACCGGCCACAUUGCGACUGCGGUACGGCCCAGUCUCCUACGGGAGGCAGCGGUGGGGAAUAUUGCGCAAUGGGCGGAAGCCUGAUGCAGCAGCGCCGCGUGCGGGAUGACGGCCUUCGAGUUGUGAACCGCUUUCGCCUGUGACGUAGCGUUAGUGACGGUAAUGGGUAAGAAAGCCCCGGCUAACUACGUG
RNAcentral lists this ribosomal RNA (468 nucleotides) under uncultured bacterium. RNAcentral's name for it is "partial 16S ribosomal RNA". It matches the Rfam family "Bacterial small subunit ribosomal RNA", at positions 28 to 507 of the family's 1533-position model. The record is from RNAcentral.